AGCCUUUACUAUAAAUGGUAUGGCCCAUAGGCCCAUUUCAAUAUCACAUAUAAUUUCAAUGAAAGAAUGCAAACCCAUUUGGGGAGACUACUCAACCCACCAUCCGCUACUCUCCACCCGUACCAACCAACACACCAUGUGGGGAUUAACUCGACCCACCCCGCCAUAACUCUCCACUGGCAGCUUAGCUGCUUUAUCAUAUAACUGGAGGCCUAGCCUCUUUUAAUAACUGGGGCAAAAGCCCUUUU
Molecule: long non-coding RNA, 248 nt
Filed under: Gossypium barbadense (sea-island cotton)
Lineage: Eukaryota; Viridiplantae; Streptophyta; Magnoliopsida; Malvales; Malvaceae
Description: long non-coding RNA (GBAR_LNC000418)
Source: RNAcentral